GACGAACGCUGGCGGCGUGCUUAACACAUGCAAGUCGAACGGAAAGGCCCUGCUUUUGUGGGGUGCUCGAGUGGCGAACGGGUGAGUAACACGUGAGUAACCUGCCCUUGACUUUGGGAUAACUUCAGGAAACUGGGGCUAAUACCGGAUAGGAGCUCCUGCUGCAUGGUGGGGGUUGGAAAGUUUCGGCGGUUGGGGAUGGACUCGCGGCUUAUCAGCUUGUUGGUGGGGUAGUGGCUUACCAAGGCUUUGACGGGUAGCCGGCCUGAGAGGGUGACCGGCCACAUUGGGACUGAGCUACGGCACAGCCUCCUACGGGAGGCAGCAGUGGGGAAUAUUGCACAAUGGGCGGAAGCCUGAUGCAGCACCGCCGCGUGCGGGAUGACGGCCUUCGGGUUGUAAACCGCUUUCGCCUGUGACGAAGUGUGAGUGACGGUAAUGGGUAAAGAAGCACCGGCUAACUACGUG
RNAcentral lists this ribosomal RNA (468 nucleotides) under uncultured bacterium. RNAcentral describes it as "partial 16S ribosomal RNA". It matches the Rfam family "Bacterial small subunit ribosomal RNA", at positions 28 to 507 of the family's 1533-position model. The record is from RNAcentral.